RNAcentral lists this ribosomal RNA (431 nucleotides) under uncultured bacterium. RNAcentral describes it as "partial 16S ribosomal RNA". It matches the Rfam family "Bacterial small subunit ribosomal RNA", at positions 30 to 508 of the family's 1533-position model. The record is from RNAcentral.
AACGAACGCUGGCGGCAGGCUUAACACAUGCAAGUCGAACGCCCCGCAAGGGGAGUGGCAGACGGGUGAGUAACGCGUGGGAACAUACCCUUUCCUGCGGAAUAGCUCCGGGAAACUGGAAUUAAUACCGCAUACGCCCUACGGGGGAAAGAUUUAUCGGGGAAGGAUUGGCCCGCGUUGGAUUAGCUAGUUGGUGGGGUAAAGGCCUACCAAGGCGACGAUCCAUAGCUGGUCUGAGAGGAUGAUCAGCCACAUUGGGACUGAGACACGGCCCAAACUCAACGGGGAGGGAGCAGGGGGGAAUUUUGAAAAGGGGGCGAAAGCUGGACCCACCCAUGCCGGGUGAGGAAAAAGGGCUUGGGGGUUGAAAAGCUCUUUCACAGAUGAAGAAAAGAAGGGAGGGGGGAAAAAAGCCCCGGGCAAAUUUGGGC